Molecule: long non-coding RNA, 1578 nt
Organism: Oncorhynchus mykiss (rainbow trout)
Lineage: Eukaryota; Metazoa; Chordata; Actinopteri; Salmoniformes; Salmonidae
Source: Ensembl
AUGGAUCGCAAUAGCCACGCUGCAUUUUGGUCCGACUCUCUUUCACAUAAAGAAAACCGUGACAGAAUCACCCACCACAACAGGACCAAGCGGCGUGGUAACGGGCAACAGCAACAGCGGCGCAAAGAGGAAUGGACUUGGGACGAUGUAUUGGACACCAAGGGUUGCUACACAUGGGAGGAGAUCCUGGCGGGAAAGGAUCGCCUUCCAUGGGAACAGGUGGAGGCAGCUAGGAGAGCAGAGGCAGCUGGAGAGAGGAGCCGGCGAUAUGAGGGAACACGGCUGGCAAGGAAGCCCGAGAGUCAGCCCCAAAAAUGUAUUGGGGGGUGGCACACAGGAAGUGUGGCGAAGCCAGGUAGGAGGCCUGCGCCAACUUCCUGUGCUUACCGGGGGGCGAGAGAGACCGGCCAGGCACCGUGUUAUGCGGUGGAGCGCACGGUGUCCCCAGUGCGGGUGCACAGGCCGGUGCGGUACAUUCCAGCUCCGCGUAUCGGCCGGGCUAGAGUGGGCAUCGAGCCAAGUGCCAUGAAGCCGGCUCUACGCAUCUGGUCUCCAGUGCGUCUCCUUGGGCCGGCUUACAUGGCACCAGCCUUGCGCACGGUGUCCCCGGUUCGCCUGCAUAGCCCAGUGCGGGCUAUUCCACCUCGCCGCACUGGCAGGGCGACCGGGACCAUUCAACCGGGUAAGGUUGGGCAGGCUCGGUGCUCAAGAGCUCCAGUGCGCCUGAACGGCCCAGUCUAUCCGUCACCACCCCCACGCACCAGCCCUCCGGUGGCAGCCCCCCGCACCAGGCUGUCUCUCCGGCCCAUCCUUACAGGGGCUCCCUCCUCUCCAGCGCUGCCAGAGCCUUCCUCUCCAGCGCCGCCUGAGCCGCCCGUCUGCCCAGCGCCGCCUGAGCCGCCCGUCUGCCCAGCGCCGCCUGAGCCGCCCGUCUGCCCAGCGCCGCCUGAGCCGCCCGUCUGCCCAGCGCCGCCUGAGCAGCCCGUCUGCCCAGCGCCGCCUGAGCCUCCCGUCUGCCCAGCGCCUACCGUCUGCCCAGCGCCGCCUGAGCCGCUCGUCUGCCCAGCGCCGCCUGAGCCGCCCGUCUGCCCAGCGCCGCCUGAGCCGCCCGUCUGCCCAGCGCCGCCUGAGCCGCCCGUCUGCCCAGCGCCGCCUGAGCCGCCCGUCUGCCCAGCGCCGCCUGAGCAGCCCGUCUGCCCAGCGCCGCCUGAGCCUCCCGUCUGCCCAGCGCCUACCGUCUGCCCAGCGCCGCCUGAGCCGCCCGUCUGCCCAGCGCCGCCUGAGCCGCCCGUCUGCAGGGAGCCGCCCUUCUGCAGGGAGCCGCCAGUCUGCAGGGAGCCGCCAGUGCCGCCAGUCAGCCAGGGGCCGCCAGUGCCACCAGUCAGCCAGGGGCCGCCAGUCGGCCAGGGGCCGCCAGUGCCGCCAGUCGGCCAGGGGCCGCCAGUGCCGCCAGUCGGCCAGGGGCCGCCAGUGCCGCCAGUCGGCCAGGGGCCGCCAGUGCCGCCAGUCAGCCAGGGGCCGCCAGUGCCCCUCAGCCCAGAGCUUCCGUGGUUAGGAGGCCACGGAAGCAGACAAUAA